UUAUUCCUGGAGUGUUCGCCAGUCCUCUAUUUUUGCCCACAUUUCCUAUUACGGAGCUUUCGUUAUGAGUUGGAUGUCAGGCCUCCGUGUCAAAACGCUUGGGGACGACAGAAGGUUUGUACAAGGCACCGGCCUGCUAUACAUAGCGGGUGAAAAAAUAGAGUACAGCGGCACUUUGGGGCAAUC
This 186-nucleotide non-coding RNA is filed under the name Clostridiales bacterium. RNAcentral describes it as "6S RNA". It matches the Rfam family "6S / SsrS RNA". From Rfam's summary of the family: E. coli 6S RNA was the first non coding RNA to be sequenced, but its function was unknown until recently. It consists of 184 nucleotides that fold into an extended hairpin structure with a large single-stranded internal bulge. The record is from RNAcentral. Lineage: Bacteria; Bacillati; Bacillota; Clostridia; Eubacteriales.